RNAcentral lists this long non-coding RNA (255 nucleotides) under Mytilus galloprovincialis (Mediterranean mussel). Lineage: Eukaryota; Metazoa; Mollusca; Bivalvia; Mytilida; Mytilidae. The record is from RNAcentral.
AUUCGUCAGCACAGUCACAAAGAAAAAAUACAACAUAUUCAUAACAUCAAAUUGCAAAACGCAAAAUUGCAUUUAUGUUCUAACGUGUGGAACUUGCAAAAUACAAUAUGUUGGUGAAACAGAAACACCAUUUAACAUCCGACUAAAUAACCAUCGGUCAUUUUAUACAAAAGAAAGGAACUGCCCAAUUACAAGACACCUUUUAAGAGCAGGACAUGAUUUUGAAAACGUCACAUUUCAAAUCAUUGAGAAAAA